RNAcentral lists this ribosomal RNA (440 nucleotides) under uncultured bacterium. Its description in RNAcentral is "partial 16S ribosomal RNA". It matches the Rfam family "Bacterial small subunit ribosomal RNA", at positions 338 to 795 of the family's 1533-position model. The record is from RNAcentral.
CCUACGGGUGGCAGCAGUGGGGAAUAUUGCACAAUGGGGGAAACCCUGAUGCAGCGACGCCGCGUGAGUGAAGAAGUAUUUCGGUUUGUAAAGCUCUAUCAGCAGGGAAGAAAAUGACGGUAUCUGAUUAAGAAUCCCUGGCUAACUACGUCCCAGCAGCCGCGGUAUUACGUAGGGGGCAAGCGUUAUACGGUGUUACUGGGUGUAAAGGUAGCCGAGACGGCAGGACAAGUCUGGAGUGAAAUGCCGGGGCUUAACCCCGGAACUGCAUUGGAAACUGGGCAGCUAGAGUGCAGGAGAGGUAAGUGGAAUUACUGGUGUAGCGGUGAAAUGCGUAGAUAUUAGGAGGAACACCAGUGGCGAAGGCGGCUUACUGGACUGUAACUGACGUUGAGGCGCGAAAGCGUGGGGAGCAAACAGGAUUAGAUACCCGAGUAGUC